UGGGGAAUUUUGGACAAUGGGCGAAAGCCUGAUCCAGCAAUGCCGCGUGAGUGUAGAAGGCCUUCGGGUUGUAAAGCUCUUUUGUCAGGGAAGAAACGGCGGUUUCUAAUACAGAUCGCUAAUGACGGUACCUGAAGAAUAAGCACCGGCUAACUACGUG
This 160-nucleotide ribosomal RNA is filed under the name uncultured bacterium. RNAcentral describes it as "partial 16S ribosomal RNA". It matches the Rfam family "Bacterial small subunit ribosomal RNA", at positions 355 to 507 of the family's 1533-position model. The record is from RNAcentral.